GAACGCGUUGGCCCAAUUGAUUGAUGGUGCUUGCACCUGAUUGAUUUUGGUCGCCAACGAGUGGCGGACGGGUGAGUAACACGUAGGUAACCUGCCCAGAAGCGGGGGACAACAUUUGGAAACAGAUGCUAAUACCGCAUAACAACGUUGUUCGCAUGAACAACGCUUAAAAGAUGGCUUCUCGCUAUCACUUCUGGAUGGACCUGCGGUGCAUUAGCUUGUUGGUGGGGUAAUGGCCUACCAAGGCGAUGAUGCAUAGCCGAGUUGAGAGACUGAUCGGCCACAAUGGGACUGAGACACGGCCCAUACUCCUACGGGAGGCAGCAGUAGGGAAUCUUCCACAAUGGGCGCAAGCCUGAUGGAGCAACACCGCGUGAGUGAAGAAGGGUUUCGGCUCGUAAAGCUCUGUUGUUAAAGAAGAACACGUAUGAGAGUAACUGUUCAUACGUUGACGGUAUUUAACCAGAAAGUCACGGCUAACUACGUGCCAGCAGCCGCGGUAAUACGUAGGUGGCAAGCGUUAUCCGGAUUUAUUGGGCGUAAAGAGAGUGCAGGCGGUUUUCUAAGUCUGAUGUGAAAGCCUUCGGCUUAACCGGAGAAGUGCAUCGGAAACUGGAUAACUUGAGUGCAGAAGAGGGUAGUGGAACUCCAUGUGUAGCGGUGGAAUGCGUAGAUAUAUGGAAGAACACCAGUGGCGAAGGCGGCUACCUGGUCUGCAACUGACGCUGAGACUCGAAAGCAUGGGUAGCGAACAGGAUUAGAUACCCUGGUAGUCCAUGCCGUAAACGAUGAGUGCUAGGUGUUGGAAGGUUUCCGCCCUUCAGUGCCGGAGCUAACGCAUUAAGCACUCCGCCUGGGGAGUACGACCGCAAGGUUGAAACUCAAAGGAAUUGACGGGGGCCCGCACAAGCGGUGGAGCAUGUGGUUUAAUUCGAAGCUACGCGAAGAACCUUACCAGGUCUUGNNAUCUUGCGCCANNNCUAGAGAUAGGGCGUUUCCUUCGGGAACGCAAUG
Molecule: ribosomal RNA, 1014 nt
Filed under: Limosilactobacillus fermentum
Lineage: Bacteria; Bacillati; Bacillota; Bacilli; Lactobacillales; Lactobacillaceae
Description: bacterial SSU rRNA
Rfam family: Bacterial small subunit ribosomal RNA
Source: RNAcentral